CGCAGCCGCGGUAAUUCCAGCUCCAAUAGCGUAUAUUAAAGUUGUUGCAGUUAAAAAGCUCGUAGUUGAAUUUCGGGAUUAGUACGUUGGUCGUGCCUUCGGUACGUACUGGUGUUACUGGUUCCUACCUUCUGACGAACCAUCAUGUCAUUAAUUUGGUGUGGUGGGGAAUCAGGACUGUUACUUUGAAAAAAUUAGAGUGUUUAAAGCAGGCUCGCGCUUGAAUACAUUAGCAUGGAAUAAUGAAAUAGGACGUUGACCCUAUUUUGUUGGUUUCUAGGAUUGACGUAAUGAUUAAUAGGGAUAGUUGGGGGCAUUAGUAUUCAAUUGUCAGAGGUGAAAUUCUUGGAUUUAUUGAAGACUAACUACUGCGAAAGCAUUUGCCAAGGAUGUUUUCAUUAAUCAAGAACGAAAGUUAGGGGAUCGAAGACGAUCAGAUACCGUCGUAGUCUUAACCAUAAACUAUGCCGACUAGGGAUCGGAUGAUGUUAAUUUUUUAAUGACUCA
RNAcentral lists this ribosomal RNA (507 nucleotides) under Glomus sp. MO-G5. RNAcentral's name for it is "SSU rRNA". It matches the Rfam family "Eukaryotic small subunit ribosomal RNA", at positions 569 to 1078 of the family's 1831-position model. The record is from RNAcentral. Lineage: Eukaryota; Fungi; Glomeromycota; Glomeromycetes; Glomerales; Glomeraceae.